This 1100-nucleotide small RNA is filed under the name Trichoderma harzianum. Its description in RNAcentral is "eukaryotic LSU rRNA". The stretch from base 180 to 333 matches the Rfam family "5.8S ribosomal RNA". Lineage: Eukaryota; Fungi; Ascomycota; Sordariomycetes; Hypocreales; Hypocreaceae. The record is from RNAcentral.
UGUGAACGUUACCAAACUGUUGCCUCGGCGGGAUCUCUGCCCCGGGUGCGUCGCAGCCCCGGACCAAGGCGCCCGCCGGAGGACCAACCUAAAACUCUUAUUGUAUACCCCCUCGCGGGUUUUUUUUUAUAAUCUGAGCCUUCUCGGCGCCUCUCGUAGGCGUUUCAAAAAUGAAUCAAAACUUUCAACAACGGAUCUCUUGGUUCUGGCAUCGAUGAAGAACGCAACGAAAUGCAAUAAAUAAUGUGAAUUGCAUAAUUCAAUGAAUCAUCCAAUCUUUGAACGCACAUUGCGCCCGCCAUUAUUCUGGCGGGCAUGCCUGUCCGAGCGUCAUUUCCACCCUCCAACCCCUCCGGGGGGUCGGCGUUGGGGAUCGGCCCCCCCUCUGCGGGUGGUCGUCUCCCAAAUACAGUGGCGGCCCCGCCGCACCCUCUCCUGCGCAUUAGUUUGCGCACCGGCAUCGGGACCCCGCCGCGUCCACAGCCGUUAAACACCCAACUUAUGAAAUGUUGACCUCGAAUAAAGUAGGAAUACCCGCAGAUCUUUAACUUAUCGAUAGGAGGACAAAAAGAAACCAACCAGGAUUGCCCAACUAACGGGCAGCGACGCGGCAACUGCAUCUUUUUGAAUUCUGGUCCCGAGGGCAAUAUUUAUAGUUUGCAUAGGAUGUAUUUGCUGACGAGCCCCCUGAAUCGGAGGCACCGGAAGCAGAGAGGGAGAAAGCCUGGCUGGAUGGCAGCGAGCUUUGUUAGCUCCUCAACGAUCGAGUAUGUGGCAUGCGAGCAGAUGCGACUAUACGUCUAUUAACCUAGAUAGAGACAAACCAUACGACGAUUAACAGAACACAAAAGACAGGACCUUAAAUAGGAUUAAUGUAUUGAAAAAUGAACGGAGAGCUGUGACAGGCUGCGAUGUCGAUGUCCGGGUCUCUCUGGCCCUCGCUCUCUAGCUCUACGGUGAAAAGGGUAAAAGGUGACGACAGGAGUUAAGCCGUCAAAACCUGGAGGACUGAGAUGCUUUGGCGGUUGUAGCAGCCUGCAUCGCGCCGCACGCUCGCAGCCCGCGCCCCAAAAAAAAAAUCGGGCUAUCACCUCUCCGGC